This 78-nucleotide transfer RNA is filed under the name Candidatus Omnitrophota bacterium. RNAcentral's name for it is "Candidatus Omnitrophica bacterium tRNA-Glu". It matches the Rfam family "tRNA". Rfam says of the family: Transfer RNA (tRNA) molecules are approximately 80 nucleotides in length. Lineage: Bacteria; Pseudomonadati; Candidatus Omnitrophota. The record is from RNAcentral.
GACCCCAUCGUCUAGCCUGGCCUAAGACAACGGCCUUUCGAGCCGUCGACGGGGGUUCGAAUCCCCCUGGGGUCGCCA